This 1496-nucleotide ribosomal RNA is filed under the name Corynebacterium diphtheriae. RNAcentral describes it as "bacterial SSU rRNA". It matches the Rfam family "Bacterial small subunit ribosomal RNA". Lineage: Bacteria; Bacillati; Actinomycetota; Actinomycetes; Mycobacteriales; Corynebacteriaceae. The record is from RNAcentral.
UUCGGAGAGUUUGAUCCUGGCUCAGGACGAACGCUGGCGGCGUGCUUAACACAUGCAAGUCGAACGGAAAGGCCCUGCUUGCAGGGUGCUCGAGUGGCGAACGGGUGAGUAACACGUGGGUGAUCUGCCUUGUACUUCGGGAUAAGCUUGGGAAACUGGGUCUAAUACCGGAUAGGACCAGCCUUUAGUGUGGUUGGUGGAAAGAUUUUUUCGGUGCAAGAUGAGCCCGCGGCCUAUCAGCUUGUUGGUGGGGUAAUGGCCUACCAAGGCGUCGACGGGUAGCCGGCCUGAGAGGGUGGACGGCCACAUUGGGACUGAGAUACGGCCCAGACUCCUACGGGAGGCAGCAGUGGGGAAUAUUGCACAAUGGGCGGAAGCCUGAUGCAGCGACGCCGCGUGAGGGAUGAAGGCCUUCGGGUUGUAAACUCCUUUCGCCAGGGACGAAGCUUUUGUGACGGUACCUGGAUAAGAAGCACCGGCUAACUACGUGCCAGCAGCCGCGGUAAUACGUAGGGUGCGAGCGUUGUCCGGAAUUACUGGGCGUAAAGAGCUCGUAGGUGGUUUGUCGCGUCGUCUGUGAAAUUCCGGGGCUUAACUCCCGGGCGUGCAGGCGAUACGGGCAAUACUUGAGUGAUGUAGGGGUAACUGGAAUUCCUGGUGUAGCGGUGAAAUGCGCAGAUAUCAGGAGGAACACCGAUGGCGAAGGCAGGUUACUGGGCAUUUACUGACGCUGAGGAGCGAAAGCAUGGGUAGCGAACAGGAUUAGAUACCCUGGUAGUCCAUGCCGUAAACGGUGGGCGCUAGGUGUGAGCCUCUUCCACGAGGUUUGUGCCGUAGCUAACGCAUUAAGCGCCCCGCCUGGGGAGUACGGCCGCAAGGCUAAAACUCAAAGGAAUUGACGGGGGCCCGCACAAGCGGCGGAGCAUGUGGAUUAAUUCGAUGCAACGCGAAGAACCUUACCUGGGCUUGACAUAUUUAGGAUCGCUGCAGAGAUGUAGUUUCCCUUGUGGCCUUUAUACAGGUGGUGCAUGGUUGUCGUCAGCUCGUGUCGUGAGAUGUUGGGUUAAGUCCCGCAACGAGCGCAACCCUUGUCUUAUGUUGCCAGCACGUUAUGGUGGGGACUCAUGAGAGACUGCCGGGGUUAACUCGGAGGAAGGUGGGGAUGACGUCAAAUCAUCAUGCCCCUUAUGUCCAGGGCUUCACACAUGCUACAAUGGUCGGUACAGCGCGCAGCGAGCUCGUGAGGGUGAGCGAAUCGUUUAAAGCCGGCCUUAGUUCGGAUUGGGGUCUGCAACUCGACCCCAUGAAGUCGGAGUCGCUAGUAAUCGCAGAUCAGCUACGCUGCGGUGAAUACGUUCCCGGGCCUUGUACACACCGCCCGUCACGUCAUGAAAGUUGGUAACACCCGAAGCCAGUGGCCUAUCCUUGUGAGGGAGCUGUCGAAGGUGGGAUCGGCGAUUGGGACGAAGUCGUAACAAGGUAGCCGUAAAUCGAAU